UUCGACAGGUUUCUGACAAAA
Non-coding RNA from Caenorhabditis elegans, 21 nucleotides. The record is from Ensembl. NCBI's taxonomy places the organism in Eukaryota, Metazoa, Nematoda, Chromadorea, Rhabditida, Rhabditidae.